RNAcentral lists this ribosomal RNA (442 nucleotides) under uncultured Rickettsiaceae bacterium. RNAcentral's name for it is "bacterial SSU rRNA". It matches the Rfam family "Bacterial small subunit ribosomal RNA", at positions 29 to 505 of the family's 1533-position model. Lineage: Bacteria; Pseudomonadati; Pseudomonadota; Alphaproteobacteria; Rickettsiales; Rickettsiaceae. The record is from RNAcentral.
AACGAACGCUGGCGGCAGGCCUAACACAUGCAAGUCGAGCGAGAACGCUUCUUCGGAAGUUAUUAAAGCGGCAGACGGGUGCGUAACACGUGGGAAUCUACCUGAUAGUACGGAAUAGCCCUUGGAAACGAGGAUUAAUACCGUAUGUGCUCUACGGAGUAAAGAUUUAUCGCUAUCAGAUGAGCCCGCGCUAGAUUAGUUUGUUGGUGGGGUAAGAGCCUACCAAGACUACGAUCUAUAGCUGUUCUUAGAGGAAGAUCAGCCACACUGGAACUGAGACACGGUCCAGACUCCUACGGGAGGCAGCAGUGGGGAAUAUUGGACAAUGGGCGCAAGCCUGAUCCAGCCAUGCCGCGUGAGUGAUGACGGCCUUCGGGUUGUAAAGCUCUUUUAGCAGGGAGGAAAAUGACGUUACCUGCAGAAAAAGCUCCGGCUAACUUCG